CAGCCGCCGCGGUAAUACGAAGGGGGCUAGCGUUGUUCGGAAUUACUGGGCGUAAAGCGCACGUAGGCGGAUAUUUAAGUCAGGGGUGAAAUCCCGCAGCUCAACUGCGGAACUGCCUUUGAUACUGGGUAUCUUGAGUAUGGAAGAGGUUAGUGGGAUUGCGAGUGUAGAGGUGAAAUUCGUAGAUAUUCGCAGGAACACCAGUGGCGAAGGCGGCUAACUGGUCCAUAACUGACGCUGAGGUGCGAAAGCGUGGGGAGCAAACAGGAUUAGAUACCCCCGUAGUCCCUGUCUCUUAUAC
This 301-nucleotide ribosomal RNA is filed under the name uncultured bacterium. RNAcentral's name for it is "partial 16S ribosomal RNA". It matches the Rfam family "Bacterial small subunit ribosomal RNA", at positions 509 to 807 of the family's 1533-position model. The record is from RNAcentral.